AGACCCGAAACCCGGUGAUCUAGCCAUGGGCAGGUUGAAGGUUGGGUAACACUAACUGGAGGACCGAACCGACUAAUGUUGAAAAAUUAGCGGAUGACCUGUGGCUGGGGGUGAAAGGCCAAUCAAACCGGGAGAUAGCUGGUUCUCCCCGAAAGCUAUUUAGGUAGCGCCUCGUGAAUUCAUCUCCGGGGGUAGAGCACUGUUUCGGCUAGGGGGUCAUCCCGACUUACCAACCCGAUGCAAACUGCGAAUACCGGAGAAUGUUAUCACGGGAGACACACGGCGGGUGCUAACGUCCGUCGUGAAGAGGGAAACAACCCAGACCGCCAGCUAAGGUCCCAAAGUCAUGGUUAAGUGGGAAACGAUGUGGGAAGGCCCAGACAGCCAGGAUGUUGGCUUAGAAGCAGCCAUCAUUUAAAGAAAGCGUAAUAGCUCACUGGUCGAGUCGGCCUGCGCGGAAGAUGUAACGGGGCUAAACCAUGCACCGAAGCUGCGGCAGCGACACUGUGUGUUGUUGGGUAGGGGAGCGUUCUGUAAGCCUGUGAAGGUGGCCUGUGAGGGUUGCUGGAGGUAUCAGAAGUGCGAAUGCUGACAUAAGUAACGAUAAAGCGGGUGAAAAGCCCGCUCGCCGGAAGACCAAGGGUUCCUGUCCAACGUUAAUCGGGGCAGGGUGAGUCGACCCCUAAGGCGAGGCCGAAAGGCGUAGUCGAUGGGAAACGGGUUAAUAUUCCCGUACUUGGUGUUACUGCGAAGGGGGGACGGAGAAGGCUAUGUUGGCCGGGCGACGGUUGUCCCGGUUUAAGCGUGUAGGUGUGUGUUCCAGGUAAAUCCGGUUCACUUUAACACUGAGGCGUGACGACGAGGCACUACGGUGCUGAAGCAACAAAUGCCCUGCUUCCAGGAAAAGCCUCUAAGCAUCAGGUAACAUCAAAUCGUACCCCAAACCGACACAGGUGGUCAGGUAGAGAAUACCAAGGCGCUUGAGAGAACUCGGGUGAAGGAACUAGGCAAAAUGGUGCCGUAACUUCGGGAGAAGGCACGCUGACACGUAGGUGAAGUGAUUUACUCACGGAGCUGAAGUCAGUCGAAGAUACCAGCUGGCUGCAACUGUUUAUUAAAAACACAGCACUGUGCAAACACGAAAGUGGACGUAUACGGUGUGACGCCUGCCCGGUGCCGGAAGGUUAAUUGAUGGGGUCAGCGCAAGCGAAGCUCCUGAUCGAAGCCCCGGUAAACGGCGGCCGUAACUAUAACGGUCCUAAGGUAGCGAAAUUCCUUGUCGGGUAAGUUCCGACCUGCACGAAUGGCGUAAUGAUGGCCAGGCUGUCUCCACCCGAGACUCAGUGAAAUUGAACUCGCUGUGAAGAUGCAGUGUACCCGCGGCAAGACGGAAAGACCCCGUGAACCUUUACUAUAGCUUGACACUGAACAUUGAGCCUUGAUGUGUAGGAUAGGUGGGAGGCUUUGAAGCGUGGACGCCAGUCUGCGUGGAGCCGACCUUGAAAUACCACCCUUUAAUGUUUGAUGUUCUAACGUGGACCCGUGAUCCGGGUUGCGGACAGUGUCUGGUGGGUAGUUUGACUGGGGCGGUCUCCUCCUAAAGAGUAACGGAGGAGCACGAAGGUUGGCUAAUCCUGGUCGGACAUCAGGAGGUUAGUGCAAUGGCAUAAGCCAGCUUGACUGCGAGCGUGACGGCGCGAGCAGGUGCGAAAGCAGGUCAUAGUGAUCCGGUGGUUCUGAAUGGAAGGGCCAUCGCUCAACGGAUAAAAGGUACUCCGGGGAUAACAGGCUGAUACCGCCCAAGAGUUCAUAUCGACGGCGGUGUUUGGCACCUCGAUGUCGGCUCAUCACAUCCUGGGGCUGAAGUAGGUCCCAAGGGUAUGGCUGUUCGCCAUUUAAAGUGGUACGCGAGCUGGGUUUAGAACGUCGUGAGACAGUUCGGUCCCUAUCUGCCGUGGGCGCUGGAGAACUGAGGGGGGCUGCUCCUAGUACGAGAGGACCGGAGUGGACGCAUCACUGGUGUUCGGGUUGUCAUGCCAAUGGCACUGCCCGGUAGCUAAAUGCGGAAGAGAUAAGUGCUGAAAGCAUCUAAGCACGAAACUUGCCCCGAGAUGAGUUCUCCCUGAGACUUAGA
RNAcentral lists this ribosomal RNA (2134 nucleotides) under Salmonella enterica. RNAcentral describes it as "partial 23S ribosomal RNA". It matches the Rfam family "Bacterial large subunit ribosomal RNA", at positions 711 to 2824 of the family's 2925-position model. The record is from RNAcentral. Lineage: Bacteria; Pseudomonadati; Pseudomonadota; Gammaproteobacteria; Enterobacterales; Enterobacteriaceae.